UGUCACAGUCUCCUUUGCUUUGAGAUUUUCCUCCCCCGUUCAUUUGAGCCUUCUUUCUCUUUAGUCUUUACUUUCCUCCCCAGUCCCCCUUCCAUUAGAGCCAUGCCCCUGAUCUCUCCUCCGCCCUUAACUUUGUAUAAUGUUGUUCGUGUUUUCUCUCUCCUCUAUCUCUCUCUCAACAUCAUGACUCUCCCUAACUAUGCUAAUAUUUUUUGUUGUUGAUUCACAUUUCUCGAGUUCGAGAGUGAAGUUAGGGUCUGAUUUUGAUUUAUUUAUUUUUUUUUUGAAAAUUUGAUAUCUCCCCAGCUAUUUGUACUCAUCUCCUUCUGUUGAUUGUAUUUGUUUUCAUUUUUUUGCAGAAAAAUCUCAUAAAAUCGAUUUUGGCCUUGGGGUCGGCAAUUCCCGACAACAAUCUGGUGAAGCAGCGACUGGCAUUAGCGGCGCCAUAGCUAGAUUCUUGUUCCUCUUCUUAAAUGCUCGCCAGACUUACAUAGUGGGCAGCACAAGCCAAGGAAUUGAGUAUGAAAGGACAUGUGCACAACAUGCAGAUGAAAGCAGCUCAUAAAAAAGCUCAUGAAUCCAUAUUUCGUCAGAGAAAUUUGCCUCCUUCGGCUAUGGAUACAUCCUACAAUUUUGAUGCAGUGGCUGCAAGUUAUUGUGGAGCAGGUUCGUGAUGGUAGCACAAUGCGAGUCUACUUGCUCCCUGAGUUUCAGUAUUCAGUAUGUUCAGGUUUUUGUGGCUGCAAUCCAAGUUCAUAUGCUAGCAAACAAGUCUGAUAUUAUAGGUUUGCUUGAUAGAGAUGAUACUUGUGCAAAACAAGUAGCAAGCAUCUCAAUAGAAAAGGAACGUUUAGAAGCUUGUCUAAUAUAUGCAAAUACGACUUUAUCAUGACAUUUCUCAUUUAUCAUCUUUAUUUCAUUAACCAAAACAUCAUAA
Molecule: long non-coding RNA, 937 nt
Organism: Spinacia oleracea (spinach)
Lineage: Eukaryota; Viridiplantae; Streptophyta; Magnoliopsida; Caryophyllales; Amaranthaceae
Exons: 3
Source: RefSeq, a predicted model, not a curated record